UUACGGCCACAUCACGUUGAAACAUUAGUUCCUUUACGAUCACCGAAGUUAAGCAAAGUCAAGCUUGGUCAGUACCUAAAUGGGUGACCGAUUGGAAAUACCAGGUGCUAUA
Non-coding RNA from Acanthosepion pharaonis, 112 nucleotides. The record is from the annotation of a GenBank genome assembly. NCBI's taxonomy places the organism in Eukaryota, Metazoa, Mollusca, Cephalopoda, Sepiida, Sepiidae.